Chrysemys picta bellii (western painted turtle) is the source of this 1920-nucleotide long non-coding RNA. RefSeq lists it as uncharacterized. The record is from RefSeq and is a predicted model, not a curated record. NCBI's taxonomy places the organism in Eukaryota, Metazoa, Chordata, Testudines, Emydidae.
AUAUGCUCAGCCGUCACACUGAGGAGCAGGGACUUGAAGCUAGGUGACCAACCUUCUAGCUGGAGCUUCGUAUGUUUUCUCCAUCCAGUUUGACGCAAACAUGGUCACCAGAUUCCAGAUCAGGCAAUUCUCUAACUGAGUGAUGUCUGUUGUAAAAGUGUGUGUGUUUCACUACCAUGCUGGGCUCCGUGACAGUGUGUCUGCUAUUACCCGAUUUUUACCAGGAACAUAUUCGGAUAUUGGAUUAAAUAGCAUGAACCUAGUGAAAAGACAUCAGCAUCUUGGCGCAGCUUGAUCCAGGUCUUUUCAUUUGAUACGGGUUACAAGAUGUUUAUGGUCAAUUCUCAGUUUAAAAAAACCCAACCCACACAGAUAUCUAUAGAAGUUCUCAUAUGUCCAUACGCUUGCCAGGCAUUCCUUUUCAAUCUGCACAUGCCAUCUUCUGCUUCUGUAAGUGUAUAAGAGCAGAAUGCAAUUGGCUUCCACUCACGUCCAUGUAGCUGCAACAGUACACCACCAAGGCCAUAGCUACUUGCGUUAGCCUGACCAUUGUGAGUUUGUUCACACUGUAAAACUUUGAAUCUGGAGUAGUUGAGAUGAUUUCUUUUAUCCUUUUGAAGGCAAUCUCCUGAUCUGGCCCCCAUAGCCGGGAUGUAUUGAACUUAAUAGUUCAUUCAGUGGUUUUGUCACAGUAAAAAGGUCUUGCAAAUAUUGGCCAAGACAAUUUACCAUCCCCAGUAUGAGUCUCAGUUCUGGUACAUUUGUUGCUGCAUUCACUUCUCUAAUUGCUUUUAUUUUCUCAGGGCUUUGACUAAUUCCAUCUUUGCUUAUUAUCUGUUCCAAAAAUUUAAUUUGGUAUAAGCAAAAAAUACAUUUGAGUCCAGACUCACUGAUACAGCUAAGAACUUCAUUAAGGGUUUUGUCAUGUCACCGUGCCUCAGUGGGUCACAGCUGAGGCUACCAAAUUCAGGAUAGACUACUGAGAAAUAGGGCAGACUCACCCAAACUGGUUAUUCUAUCAGUAGUUUAUACCAAGCCAGUAACAAAAGUGAACUUCUGUCUCACCACACUGGUUAACAAGAAGGCAAAAAUGCAGGUUCCUUAGGCAUCCCAGCCCUUGGCUCACCACCCAGACACUAGACUUUAUGAUGAGUGGUUACUGAAAACCAAUUUAAUCUGUUAUAGGAACCAGCCAACUAGCUAGGUCAAUAUAUAACUCAGAUCUCACCCAAUAAUCAUGCUGAUGCCAAUCCUUUAGUAACUAAAAACUAAAGGUUUAUGAAUAAAAGAAAAGAAGAAAAGAGUUGUAAAUGAUUAAUAGAUCAUAUACAUACAAGUGAUUGCAAACUUCUUCUAUAAGGUUUGAAACCGAACUUUUAACGGGCGUUCCAGUCGAAAACUGGAUGUCUGGCAACCUUAUUUAGUUGCAAUAUGAAAAUGUGCAAACCGCUCUUUCCAAUUAAGCCAGUUUGAUGGUCUGCCAAACUGAAGCUCUCUGAGGCAUGAAACUUUGCCAUUUUGAUGAAAUUCUGCAAUUUCUGUGGUUUUUUUCUUCUGACACCACAUCAGGUCAGUCAGACAGAGACAGAGGCAAAAUGGAUGCUAGGCACAACAACAACUUUAUUGUAAGAAAGAAUGUAGAUUGUCUCCAGCACUCAGCAAAGAUGUGCAUCCGUGUUCUUCAGACAGUGCCACCUAAUGGCUAAACAUUACAGUGUAGUUUAAGCUUUCCAUCACGCAGGGCAUGUCUAGAAUUUGUCAUGUUCUUUAAAAGGCCAGAGCCAACACUGGCAUAUGUAAAUUGAAAAAAAAAUCACUAGGGUUGUAAAUGUUAACUCUGCAUUUAAUUAUAGAAUUAAAAUGAUAACUCUCCAAUGUUAAUAACUUGUAGUUGUUCUGUAAAAAAUUAUAAAACCUAAU